This 254-nucleotide ribosomal RNA is filed under the name uncultured bacterium. RNAcentral describes it as "partial 16S ribosomal RNA". It matches the Rfam family "Bacterial small subunit ribosomal RNA", at positions 524 to 776 of the family's 1533-position model. The record is from RNAcentral.
UACAGAGGUCCCAAGCGUUGUUCGGAUUCACUGGGCGUAAAGGGUGCGUAGGUGGUUAGGUAAGUCCGAUGUGAAAUCUCCAGGCUCAACCUGGAAAUGGCAUUGGAUACUAUUUAGCUUGAGGAGUGGAGGGGGGGACUGGAAUUCUCGGUGUAGCAGUGAAAUGCGUAGAUAUCGAGAGGAACACCAGUGGCGAAGGCGAGUCCCUGGACACUUCCUGACACUGAGGCACGAAAGCUAGGGGGGCAAACAGG